Rhipicephalus microplus (southern cattle tick) is the source of this 342-nucleotide long non-coding RNA. Lineage: Eukaryota; Metazoa; Arthropoda; Arachnida; Ixodida; Ixodidae. The record is from RefSeq and is a predicted model, not a curated record.
CAGAUGGCCCGGUGAAUUCACAAAAAAGGACAGACAGUGUCAGCUUACGUACCCAUUUUUCUCCCAAACACAGUAUAUUAAGGAUUCGACAACCGACGAUUGCAUGAUGAGUUGCUCCGUUCCGAAAAACUACCGAAGAGGGAACGAGUCUAGCUGGGUUACGGAAUGCUUUGACGGCAGCCGCUGUGGAUCAAGCGGCAGAAGAAUAUGUCUGAAUUCAGAUUGUGUGGAGGACCCGAGGCUGCAUGGCAAUACCGAAAAGUCAGAAUAGCCUGAAAAGGACUCUGCCUUUACAAACUGUUAUAGUUCAGUGAGCUGCUACAAGAACUGGCUAAGGUACCC